RNAcentral lists this ribosomal RNA (253 nucleotides) under uncultured bacterium. Its description in RNAcentral is "partial 16S ribosomal RNA". It matches the Rfam family "Bacterial small subunit ribosomal RNA", at positions 524 to 776 of the family's 1533-position model. The record is from RNAcentral.
GACAGAGGUGCCGAGCGUUAGGCGGAAUCACUGGGCUUAAAGCGCGUGUAGGCGGCUCGGUAAGUCCGCUCUGAAAGUCCAGGGCUCAACCCUGGGAUGCGGGUGGAUACUGCCGAGCUCGAGUCCGGAAGAGGCGAGUGGAAUUCCUGGUGUAGCGGUGAAAUGCGUAGAUAUCGGGAGGAACACCAGUGGCGAAGGCGGAUCUCUGGGCCAUUACUGACGCUGAGGAGCGAAAGCGUGGGGAGCGAACAGG